UGCGUAGGCGGUUUGAUAAGUCAGUGGUGAAAACCUUCAGCUUAACUGGAGACUUGCCAUUGAUACUGUUAGUCUUGAGUACGGUCAAGGUAGGCGGAAUGUGUAAUGUAGCGGUGAAAUGCUUAGAUAUUACACAGAACACCGAUUGCGAAGGCAGCUUACUGGGCCAUUACUGACGCUGAGGCACGAAAGCGUGGGGAGCGAACAGGAUUAGAUACCCUGGUAGUCC
This 229-nucleotide ribosomal RNA is filed under the name uncultured bacterium. RNAcentral describes it as "partial 16S ribosomal RNA". It matches the Rfam family "Bacterial small subunit ribosomal RNA", at positions 568 to 796 of the family's 1533-position model. The record is from RNAcentral.